GGGGAGUUGCCGGAGUGGUCAAACGGAGCAGACUGUAAAUCUGCCGCCCAACGGGCUACGGAGGUUCGAACCCUCCACUCCCCA
Molecule: transfer RNA, 84 nt
Filed under: Acidobacteriota bacterium
Lineage: Bacteria; Pseudomonadati; Acidobacteriota
Description: Acidobacteria bacterium tRNA-Tyr
Rfam family: tRNA
About the family: Transfer RNA (tRNA) molecules are approximately 80 nucleotides in length.
Source: RNAcentral